This 448-nucleotide ribosomal RNA is filed under the name uncultured bacterium. RNAcentral's name for it is "bacterial SSU rRNA". It matches the Rfam family "Bacterial small subunit ribosomal RNA", at positions 355 to 825 of the family's 1533-position model. The record is from RNAcentral.
UGGGGAAUAUUGGACAAUGGGCGCAAGCCUGAUCCAGCCAUGCCGCGUGGAUGAUGAAGGCCCUAGGGUUGUAAAGUCCUUUCGACGGGGAAGAUAAUGACGGUACCCGUGGAAGAAGCCCCGGCUAACUUCGUGCCAGCAGCCGCGGUAAUACGAAGGGGGCUAGCGUUGCUCGGAAUCACUGGGCGUAAAGCGCACGUAGGCGGACUCUUAAGUCGGUGGUGAAAUCCUGGAGCUCAACUCCAGAACUGCCUCCGAUACUGGGAGCCUCCGAGUCCGGGAGAGGUGAGUGGAACUGCGAGUGUAGAGGUGAAAUUCGUAGAUAUUCGCAAGAACACCAGUGGCGAAGGCGGCUCACUGGCCCGGUACUGACGCUGAGGUGCGAAAGCGUGGGGAGCAAACAGGAUUAGAUACCCCAGUAGUCCCUGAGCGGGCUGGCAAGGCGCAU